CCUCAGAAAAGAUGGCUGCGUCCUAGGCUCUAUUCAUUUUAGAAAAAGUCACUGAAUAGCUUGAAUGUCAACCUGGUGUCAGUAACCUGGAUUGUUCCCCCUAGAAACACUCUGUCCUCUGUUCCUGAGGGUCCCUUGGCGGCUCCACUUGCCCAUAGUUAAUAUGGCCCCGGUUGCUUCUCAGGGCGGGCGGCGGCGAGUGAUCCAGAAGUGGAAAAAGAUGGGGUCAGGGAACCUGGUGGCCCCGCGCUGCCGCCUCAAGUUCUGCAAGAAGGAGUUCAACGUCGUCUUAGAAAAGAGAAAGCGGAAACCCGGCUGUUAGCCAAAGGCAGAUACCCCUUCAGUGACUGCAGGUCUUCAGCCUUUCCCAGCGCCUCACACUGCCUCCUCCAGGUGUGUGCCAGAAAAGCUACGUGAACACUUUGAAUAUGCUGACCCCUGCUGACCAUAUGAAAAGGAGCUGGAUUUUAAGUGUAUUAGGUAUGAUUGAGUAAAAUAUUAGGUGCAUUAAUGGA
This is a long non-coding RNA of Ictidomys tridecemlineatus (thirteen-lined ground squirrel), 515 nucleotides long. RefSeq lists it as uncharacterized. NCBI's taxonomy places the organism in Eukaryota, Metazoa, Chordata, Mammalia, Rodentia, Sciuridae. The record is from RefSeq and is a predicted model, not a curated record.